GGGGGGGCGAGGUUUUAGGGGAUUUCGGUCUGAUUCCGCCUGCAAAGCCUUACCAACUUUUGAGGGAGCGUCCUAACCCCCUCGGGGAUUACUCAGAGGAAAGACCCCACGUUUGGCCAAGCAAAUCUCCGUAGACCGUCUGUUGGGAAAAAAGCACCCGGAAUCCUACAAGAAUCUUCAAGGGAAAUAAUAAUAAUAAUAAUAAUAAAAUCUGGAUCGUAAAGGUGAAAGCUUUAUAACGGGGGGAGGAAAACAAAACCAAAAACCCCAAGCUACCCCCUCCCCCAGAACUCUCACUUUGGAAGAAACUACCCAAACCAUGAGGGCCGUCUCUGGGGCGUUGGAAAAAGGAUGUGGGAGCGAACCAGGUAACAGAGCUGCUCUCUUGGCAUGCAUUUCUGAUCUUUUUAUUGCCUCCUCUCACGAGAGAAGUUCGGG
Oxyura jamaicensis (ruddy duck) is the source of this 438-nucleotide long non-coding RNA. RefSeq lists it as uncharacterized. The record is from RefSeq and is a predicted model, not a curated record. The transcript has 2 exons. Lineage: Eukaryota; Metazoa; Chordata; Aves; Anseriformes; Anatidae.